CCCCAGCUGGAGGCACCUGAUCCAGCAAUGCCGCGUGUGUGAAGAAGGCCUUCGGGUUGUAAAGCACUUUUAUCCGGAACGAAACGUGCGGGGUGAAUAGCCUCGUAAACUGACGGUACCGGAGGAAUAAGCACCGGCUAACUUCGUGCCAGCAGCCGCGGUAAUACGAAGGGUGCAAGCGUUACUCGGAAUUACUGGGCGUAAAGGGUGCGUAGGUGGUUUUUUAAGUCUGCUGUGAAAUCCCCGGGCUCAACCUGGGAAUGGCAGUGGAUACUGGAAAGCUGGAGUGCGGUAGAGGGUAGUGGAAUUCCCGGUGUAGCAGUGAAAUGCGUAGAGAUCGGGAGGAACACCAGUGGCGAAGGCGGCUACCUGGACCAGCACUGACACUGAGGCACGAAAGCGUGCGGAGCAAACAGGAUUAGAUACCCUGGUAGUCCACGCCCUAAACGAUGCGAACUGGAUGUUGGGUGCAACUUGGCACUCAGUAUCGAAGCUAACGCGUUAAGUUCGCCGCCUGGGGAGUACGGUCGCAAGACUGAAACUCAAAGGAAUUGACGGGGACAU
RNAcentral lists this ribosomal RNA (564 nucleotides) under uncultured Gammaproteobacteria bacterium. Its description in RNAcentral is "bacterial SSU rRNA". It matches the Rfam family "Bacterial small subunit ribosomal RNA", at positions 369 to 922 of the family's 1533-position model. Lineage: Bacteria; Pseudomonadati; Pseudomonadota; Gammaproteobacteria. The record is from RNAcentral.